This 299-nucleotide ribosomal RNA is filed under the name uncultured bacterium. RNAcentral describes it as "partial 16S ribosomal RNA". It matches the Rfam family "Bacterial small subunit ribosomal RNA", at positions 30 to 339 of the family's 1533-position model. The record is from RNAcentral.
CCUGAACGCUGGCGGCGUGGCUAAGACAUGCAAGUCGUACGGUGUAGCAAUACACAGUGGCGAACGGGUGAGUAAUGAAUCGCUAAUGUGCCCCGGACUCUGGGAUAGCCGACCGAAAGGGCGGGUAAUACCGGAUGAGACCACGAACAGGCAUCUGUUUGUGCUCAAAGGUCCGCCGGUCUGGGAGCAGGCGAUUUCGCAUCAGCUAGUUGGUAGGGAACGGCCUACCAAGGCGACGACGCGUAGCCGGACUGAGAGGUUGACCGGCCACAUCGGGACUGAGGCACUGCCCGGACUCC